Molecule: long non-coding RNA, 215 nt
Filed under: Olea europaea (common olive)
Lineage: Eukaryota; Viridiplantae; Streptophyta; Magnoliopsida; Lamiales; Oleaceae
Description: long non-coding RNA (OEUR_LNC005615)
Source: RNAcentral
AGAUAGUCUAAAAGAUUGUAAAAAUUGAACACGACAGCUGGUUUAUAGUCUCGAAUUUGUUGAUAAAAAUUGUAGCAAUAAAUGUAAGAACGAAUGCUUAGGACAUUGGUUUGUGGUGAAAACGAACUUCAUCAAAUUGUUAGAUUUUUCUGAUACAAUUCCGAAUUCUUUGGACUAUGUUUGCAAGUGGCUUCAAAUAUUCUCGUACAAAUUGG